RNAcentral lists this ribosomal RNA (122 nucleotides) under Neogale vison (American mink). The record is from RNAcentral. Lineage: Eukaryota; Metazoa; Chordata; Mammalia; Carnivora; Mustelidae.
GUCUACGGCCAUACCACCCUGAACGCGCCCGAUCUCGUCUGAUCUCGGAAGCUAAGCAGGGUCGGGCCUGGUUAGUACUUGGAUGGGAGACAUAUAAGCAUUUUUUCUUAAAAUUGUAUCCU